GAAUCGUAGUUCACCCUCCUCGGCUCCGGGGAGGAUCCGGAAGCUAAACCAUUGAGGAUUUAGACCCCAAAACUUCUGUCCUGGAGACAAGUACUCAAGUGCAUGUAAUACAUUCUGGAAAGAUAGGAGUAAGGGACUACAGAACUGAGACAGGGAAUGGAAAGCAGCAAACAAAGAAUGCAUUAUCAAGCUCCUGAGACAGCUUCUUGGUUCUACUUCAGUCGCCCUGGAGACCUUCACCACAACAACCUGUUCACGUUUCUGCAUUUGAGUGAAUGGAAACACUUGUACAGGCUCCAGGC
Molecule: long non-coding RNA, 302 nt
Organism: Heterocephalus glaber (naked mole-rat)
Lineage: Eukaryota; Metazoa; Chordata; Mammalia; Rodentia; Bathyergidae
Source: Ensembl